This 532-nucleotide ribosomal RNA is filed under the name uncultured Dactylosporangium sp. Its description in RNAcentral is "bacterial SSU rRNA". It matches the Rfam family "Bacterial small subunit ribosomal RNA", at positions 355 to 897 of the family's 1533-position model. Lineage: Bacteria; Bacillati; Actinomycetota; Actinomycetes; Micromonosporales; Micromonosporaceae. The record is from RNAcentral.
UGGGGAAUAUUGCACAAUGGGCGGAAGCCUGAUGCAGCGACGCCGCGUGAGGGAUGACGGCCUUCGGGUUGUAAACCUCUUUCGACAGGGACGAAGCGUGAGUGACGGUACCUGUGGAAGAAGCGCCGGCCAACUACGUGCCAGCAGCCGCGGUAAGACGUAGGGCGCGAGCGUUGUCCGGAUUUAUUGGGCGUAAAGAGCUCGUAGGCGGCUCGUUGCGUCGGCUGUGAAAACCCGCAGCUCAACUGUGGGCUUGCAGCUGAUACGGGCGGGCUGGAGUUCGGUAGGGGAGACUGGAAUUCCUGGUGUAGCGGUGAAAUGCGCAGAUAUCAGGAGGAACACCGGUGGCGAAGGCGGGUCUCUGGGCCGAUACUGACGCUGAGGAGCGAAAGCGUGGGGAGCGAACAGGAUUAGAUACCCUGGUAGUCCACGCUGUAAACGUUGGGCGCUAGGUGUGGGGGGCCUCUCCGGUUCUCUGUGCCGCAGCUAACGCAUUAAGCGCCCCGCCUGGGGAGUACGGCCGCAAGGCUAA